UACAGAGGUCUCAAGCGUUGUUCGGAUUCAUUGGGCGUAAAGGGUGCGUAGGCGGCGCGGUAAGUCGGGUGUGAAAUCUCGGAGCUUAACUCCGAAACUGCAUUCGAUACUGCCGUGCUUGAGGACUGGAGAGGAGACUGGAAUUACGGUGUAGCGGUGAAAUGCGUAAAGUAUCGAUAAGGAAGACCGUGGCGGAAAGGGCGG
This 204-nucleotide ribosomal RNA is filed under the name uncultured bacterium. RNAcentral's name for it is "partial 16S ribosomal RNA". It matches the Rfam family "Bacterial small subunit ribosomal RNA", at positions 524 to 724 of the family's 1533-position model. The record is from RNAcentral.